Molecule: ribosomal RNA, 251 nt
Filed under: uncultured prokaryote
Description: partial 16S ribosomal RNA
Rfam family: Bacterial small subunit ribosomal RNA
Source: RNAcentral
ACGUAGGAGACGAGCGUUAUCCGGAAUUACUGGGCGUAAAGCGCGAGUAGGCGGAAGUGCAAGUCUUUUGUGAAAGCUCCUGGCUAAACUGGGAGAGGUCGAAAGAUACUGCACAUCUGGAGUAUGGAAGAGGGGUGCGGAAUUCCGGGUGUAGUGGUGAAAUGCGUAGAUAUGCGGAGGAACACCGAUGGCGAAGGCAAUCCCCUGGGCCUGCACUGACGCUCAUGCACGAAAGCGUGGGGAGCAAACAG